UUUGUUAAGUCAGAUGUGAAAGCCCGGGGCUCAACCUCGGAACGCAUUGAAACUGGCAGGCUAGAGUCUUGUAGAGGGGGGUAGAAUUUCAGGUGUAGCGGUGAAAUGCGUAGAGAUCUGAAGGAAUACCAGUGGCGAAGGCGGCCCCCUGGACAAAGACUGACGCUCAGAUGCGAAAGCGUGGGUAGCAAACAGGAUUAGAUACCCUGGUAGUCCACGCCGUAAACGCUGUCUACUUGGAGGUUGAGGUUUUAGACUUUGGCUUUCGGCGCUAACGCAUUAAGUAGACCGCCUGGGGAGUACGGCCGCAAGGUUAAAACUCAAAUGAAUUGACGGGGGCCCGCACAAGCGGUGGAGCAUGUGGUUUAAUUCGAUGCAACGCGAAGAACCUUACCUACUCUUGACAUCCAGAGAACUUUCCAGAGAUGGAUUGGUGCCUUCGGGAGCUCUGAGACAGGUGCUGCAUGGCUGUCGUCAGCUCGUGUUGUGAAAUGUUGGGUUAAGUCCCGCAACGAGCGCAACCCUUAUCCUUGUUUGCCAGCACAUAAUGGUGGGAACUCCAGGGAGACUGCCGGUGAUAAACCGGAGGAAGGUGGGGACGACGUCAAGUCAUCAUGGCCCUUACGAGUAGGGCUACACACGUGCUACAAUGGCAGAUACAGAGGGCAGCGAAGCUGCGAAGUAGAGCGAAUCCCUUAAGGUUUGUCGUAGUCCGGAUUGGAGUCUGCAACUCGACUCCAUGAAGUCGGAAUCGCUAGUAAUCGUGGAUCAGAAUGCCACGGUGAAUACGUUCCCGGGCCUUGCACACACCGCCCG
This 816-nucleotide ribosomal RNA is filed under the name uncultured bacterium. RNAcentral describes it as "bacterial SSU rRNA". It matches the Rfam family "Bacterial small subunit ribosomal RNA", at positions 579 to 1396 of the family's 1533-position model. The record is from RNAcentral.